RNAcentral lists this unclassified non-coding RNA (289 nucleotides) under Camptobasidium sp. RNAcentral describes it as "partial contains 5.8S ribosomal RNA, internal transcribed spacer 2, and large subunit ribosomal RNA". The stretch from base 1 to 52 matches the Rfam family "5.8S ribosomal RNA", at positions 103 to 154 of the family's 154-position model. The record is from RNAcentral. Lineage: Eukaryota; Fungi; Basidiomycota; Microbotryomycetes; Kriegeriales; Camptobasidiaceae.
AACGCACAUUGCGCCCACCGGUAUUCCGAUGGGCAUGUCUGUUUGAGCGUCAUCGCAACCCCUCGGUUACUGGUUUUUUCCAGCACGCCGGUCAUGAGCCUUGCAAAGCCGACUUCUGUCAGCGAGCAGGUUUUAAAGUUGCACGCUCUGCGGGUGACCCAACCUGAAAAAACAUAGUAGAAUUUCCAAUUUAAACUGUUUCAUUAAGGCUUGGUCAGCUCCGCCUGAACAACAAAACCAAUUUCUCAGGUUUGACCUCAGAUCAGACAAGGAUACCCGCUGAACUUAA